CCUUUUACAGGAAAUGGUGUCUUCCUGCACAGAACCGUCUUCGCCCUGAUCAAUCUCCGGCAAGUCUGAUGGCGCCUACAAAUAA
RNAcentral lists this non-coding RNA (85 nucleotides) under Chitinophaga pinensis. Its description in RNAcentral is "Fluoride sequence". It matches the Rfam family "Fluoride riboswitch aptamer (crcB RNA motif)". Lineage: Bacteria; Pseudomonadati; Bacteroidota; Chitinophagia; Chitinophagales; Chitinophagaceae. The record is from RNAcentral.